Molecule: long non-coding RNA, 891 nt
Organism: Harmonia axyridis
Lineage: Eukaryota; Metazoa; Arthropoda; Insecta; Coleoptera; Coccinellidae
Exons: 3
Source: RefSeq, a predicted model, not a curated record
AUAAAGUUUAUUUUAGUAUUAACACACUCCCCUGGAACACACAUGUUACUAUUUUAAUUGUAAACAAUCAUAAGCAGUGAACAUAAAAAAAGAAAACUCCCAACUUCAAGCCCUCAUUUUUUUUCCAUAUUCUUUCGGGGCCUUCGAUGGAAAUAAAAUUCUUGUAUUAUGGUUCAUAAACAUAAUCUUUGUGAAAUUUGGCAAAAGAGUAGUUAUUUUACGAAUUCAAUAUUAAAUACCUAUCUGGCAUCUGUUGUCACGUAAGUUGUAGAAUUUUUUCGAUAUUCUGCUAGAAUUUUCUAUGGUUCUGAUCAUGCUAGGAUCAACAACGAAAAUUUGCUCGAACCUUCAUACAGUUUUUCUAAACCGAAACUAUCUGAUUUGGUUAGUGCAAAAUUACGAAUCUAUAACAGAAAAUGAAAGUGGAUCCGUCAAAAAUUUCGUCAAAUUCACAUCAAUUAGAAGUUAAAAUACCUACCUAUAAGUAGCAGAGAUAGAGAGAUGUCGAAGGAGCCGAGGGGGGUGUUCCCUGGGUCGACAGAAAUAGAACAUACUUGAAGGGUCGAAAUGAGGAUGGCACACCUUAAAUUUUUCUAACGGGGGUGUGCAAUUUUGCAUUAUCAAAUAAAAUAAAUGCAAAAUGAACAAAAAACGUCGACCCUGAAUCAAGUGCAACGAUCUCAAGAGCAAAUAAGACAGCUGCAAUCUACGAUAUGAAAAAUUCUCCAAGGUGAUCGAUAAUUUGAGAACGCGAUAUUUUGAGAUUCUGAGGAGGCUGGCGGUAAGAUCUCGGAUAUGGUUCAGACGUUGGAAUGCAAGUAGAACUUUGUUCUUCAAUACCCUCCUCUACCUGUCGAACUCUUUUUCUGUACCUAAAGAAAUAAAUCUGAA